GAUGAACGCUGGCGGCGUGCCUAAUACAUGCAAGUCGAGCGUACAGACGAGGAGCUUGCUCCUCUGACGUUAGCGGCGGACGGGUGAGUAACACGUGGAUAACCUACCUAUAAGACUGGGAUAACUUCGGGAAACCGGAGCUAAUACCGGAUAACAUGUUGAACCGCAUGGUUCAACAGUGAAAGACGGUUUUGCUGUCACUUAUAGAUGGAUCCGCGUCGCAUUAGCUAGUUGGUAAGGUAACGGCUUACCAAGGCAACGAUGCGUAGCCGACCUGAGAGGGUGAUCGGCCACACUGGAACUGAGACACGGUCCAGACUCCUACGGGAGGCAGCAGUAGGGAAUCUUCCGCAAUGGGCGAAAGCCUGACGGAGCAACGCCGCGUGAGUGAAGAAGGUCUUCGGAUCGUAAAACUCUGUUAUUAGGGAAGAACAAAUGUGUAAGUAACUAUGCACGUCUUGACGGUACCUAAUCAGAAAGCCACGGCUAACUACGUG
Molecule: ribosomal RNA, 497 nt
Filed under: uncultured bacterium
Lineage: Bacteria
Description: partial 16S ribosomal RNA
Rfam family: Bacterial small subunit ribosomal RNA
Source: RNAcentral